ACCUCCGUGCACUCCCCCUCCGGACUUUCUGGAUGAGGUCACAUCAGUAACUGAUCCUAAGUCUUCAUCGAGCUUGGGGUGCCGUGUGCUCAUGGGAGCCCUGGGACCCUCUGCGCCGCCCCCCAGCUUGGCUUCCCCCUUUAUUCCUUCACUAUACCCACAGGAUGGUCAAGACUGCAGGGAUCAAAUUCGAUCUGGGUCUCCUUAGCUCCUAGUCCUUGAGUAUCCUGUCAUCUUCAGCAGGGGUGUGGUUAGCUGGCGAAUGCCACCCUGUAAUUUUACUAUGCAGAAUCACCAGCAGGAUGGGUGUUACUGGGUGUCCCUUUAAUGCGUGGACACUGAGUUAGGCUGAACAAGAGUCCUGACCCCUAAGACACUCCAUCUCAGGUGACCGGGCGGAUGAGGAAAGGAGAAUAACAUAAAACACAGCGACUUAACACACAAUCACAAUGGAGGGUAAGAAAAUCAAAGGACCUCCUACUACGGGAAGGAAAACAAAGCAAACAACAACCAUGUCUAUCACUGAUGCUUUCUUUUGAGCUUCCAAUACCGCUGCCUGCUUUCCAGCCACAAGACAUUUUGAGUCCAGCCACACUUUCCUGGACCUCUGUCUCCCACUUAACCUGACCACUCUGCCCAGCUGCUCCACAACACCCAGAUCAGUGGCUGCUAGGUGCCUCCAUCCUGCUGGGCCAACUUCGGCCGGGAAGAAAGGACCCCUGCAGACAUUUCAUAUUCAAAAUUGUUAAUGAGUCGGCUGGAGAGUGAAGGAGAGACUUCUGAUGCUCCACGUAUCAGACCUUCGAAAGGAAAACUGUUUCAUAUCCUAUAAUAAAGAGAAUUUGCACCCUCCCCCACAAAA
Molecule: long non-coding RNA, 862 nt
Organism: Suricata suricatta (meerkat)
Lineage: Eukaryota; Metazoa; Chordata; Mammalia; Carnivora; Herpestidae
Exons: 3
Source: RefSeq, a predicted model, not a curated record